Molecule: ribosomal RNA, 957 nt
Filed under: Triticum aestivum (bread wheat)
Lineage: Eukaryota; Viridiplantae; Streptophyta; Magnoliopsida; Poales; Poaceae
Description: partial small subunit ribosomal RNA
Source: RNAcentral
AUGGCGGCGGGCGGAUUUGGCGUGGCAGCGGUUGAGUCAAGGCAGGGCGUCGGUGGCGGGCUCCGGUGGCCUGGGCCGGCCCCUGGCUUGGCGCUGCAGUGGUGCGGGUCUCGGGCGACAAAGAUCUGUGGGCGGCCGCCCCUGCCCUGGCUUCGGGCUGGUGGGGGUGGCGGCGCAGUGGUGGUGGCCGGCGGGGCGUGUUGGUCGAGUCUGUGUCAGAACCCUCCUGGUCUGGCACUCGGACGUCGGCAGACGGUGCGAGGAGGCAUCUCCGGUGAGCUUCCAUGGCUGCAGCUGCGGGUUGAUUUGGUCUCCCUCGUCGGCGGGCUCACGGUUGCCGAUGGCCUCGCGGAGAUGUGUGUCAGCUACCAUGGUGGGUCGACAUGGGGGUGCCCGCGGGGGAGCUUUGUAGGAGGGAUAGGUGGCCUCGAUGCGGUCGCGCCACCUGUCGCCGGCACGGUUUGCCGGUCCGGAUGCGUCCGCUCCUCCUUCUCCCCCUUUCCCCAUGUUCGGUGGGGAGCUUGGUUGGAGGGAUGGGUGGCCUCGAUGCGGUCGCGUCACCUGUCGCCGGCAUGGUUUGCCGGUCCGGAUUUGUCCGCUCCCCUUUCUCCCCCUUUCCUCGGCCGUGGGCGGGUUGGCACAGGUUUUCCAGCGGAGCGUCUGCGGGUGGUUCUGUCGGUCGAGGGCCAUCGGUUGGUCCAAAGUUGGGGCCUUUGUGUAGGUCUCGGGGUUGUCUGGUUGCAGGGCGGCGGCUCUGGCGGCGGGAGGCGCGACGUUCGUGGGUGGAGCGUGCGUCUCAGGUGCAGGCAGGCAAACAUGGCCGCGUGGGUGGCGUGGUUGUGGGCGGUUGACGGAGUUAAGGUUCAUCGGUGGGGUGUGAGUGCCGGGGUACACCACUUGUCCAGUCCUUUGACUGGCCGACGGUGGCGGUGGCCGUUGCCGCCGUAUCCUUCCUGA